Molecule: ribosomal RNA, 633 nt
Filed under: Triticum aestivum (bread wheat)
Lineage: Eukaryota; Viridiplantae; Streptophyta; Magnoliopsida; Poales; Poaceae
Description: partial small subunit ribosomal RNA
Source: RNAcentral
AUGCCAGGAAGAAAGAAGACAAAAAGAAGAAAAGAGGAGGGUGAAGAAACUAAAAAUGGAAAGCUGACAAAGAAGGGCUGUAGAAUAACAUGCUCUUUAUGUGGAAAUUUUGAUCAUAACAAAAGGAAAUGUCUUCAGAAUCCAGAAGCUGGAAAGAAAGUCAAUGGGAGCUACACCAGAGCAGCAAAAAGAAUAAGGAAAAGGCAGCAAAAGGAAAGCACUGAGAUGGCACAGGAACAAUCAUCAAGGAAGAAGAAGCAACAGUGUCCAGUGGCACCACCUCCGGGAGCAACAUCUUCUCAGCCAGCUCCUACAACUCAAACAUCACAUGCUCCAGCACAGCAGAGACAAGUUCGCAAAGGAAAGAAGAGUAUAAAGAAAACAACACCAGGAACAUCUUCUCAGCCAAGAGCAUCUUCUCAGCCAAGAACAUCUCAGCCAAGAGCAUCUUCACAUCUAGCAACAUCUCAGCCAGGAGCAUCUUCACAUCCAGCAACAUCUUUCCAGCCAAGAACAUCUUGUCAACCAAUAACAUCUUCUCAGCCAGGAGCAUCUUCACAAUCAGGAGCAUCUUCUCAAGUGCCACAGAAUGACAGGCUCUAUUGGCUUAUAACUGGAACUGUUAGAAAGUGA